AAGCAAAACAAACAAAUUACAUGAUAACGGACAGCUAUUAAAUGCGAAGAAUUUGAACAUAUCGGGCACUGGCAGUUUAACUAAGCCAGUAGGUGGAAAAUCUGUUCGGCGAAGUAUUAAAACUCCUAUACACUCUGCAGUGGCAACUGGAGGUACAAAGAAAUUGUUCACGAGCAAGCAACGGGAGAAAUCUUUAGGGCGUGGAAGGUAUGAUCGUCGCGAAAGAGCACAACAAAAGGUAUCAGAAACAAGCAGGGCCAUUCAAACUGCCAAAAUGUUCAUUCCAGAAAAUCCUUAUUUCUUGCAGAUUCUUGAAAAAUACAACGUAGAACAGAACUAUAUUCUGAAUAUACCAGUUGAGUUUGUCCGGAAGUAUAUGCCAAAGACUUCAGAACUGAUUGAACUUCAAGAUACUGAUGGAAAUAAGUGGAAAGUCCGUUGCAUUAGGCGGAAACUUCGGGUGCUUUUAAGCAAAGGAUGGUUGAACUUUGUUACGGAUAAUAGUUUACUGGUAGGAGAUGUUUGCGUCUUUGAGUUGCUCAAGAACGUUCAGGCUGUUGCAUUAAUACUGAAGGUGCACAUGUUUCGCAAUAGGGUGGAAGAAAAUUCGAAAAAUUUACACACUGGUAGCCUAUUUGAACAAACUCUGUCUACUGGUAAAAACUGUGUACUUCAGUUCGAUGAAAGUAAGCAUACAAAGAGUUCAGAUGCAUUCGAACCAUUAUCUUCAGAUAGAACCAAUCACAAGACUGAUACAGAGAAUUCAUUCGGGCAGCAACAGGAGAAAUCCGUAGUGCAUGGAAGCUCUGGUAAUCGUCGUAAAAGAGGACGACCAAGGGAUGCAGAAGCAAACACUGAUACAGAGAAUUCAUCUAGACAGCAAGAGGAGAAAUCCGUAGUGCAUGGAAGCUCUGGUAAUCGUCGUAAAAGAGGACGACCAAGGGAUGCAGAAGCAAACACUGAUACAGAGAAUUCAUCUAGACAGCAAG
Molecule: unclassified non-coding RNA, 989 nt
Filed under: Hevea brasiliensis (rubber tree)
Lineage: Eukaryota; Viridiplantae; Streptophyta; Magnoliopsida; Malpighiales; Euphorbiaceae
Source: RNAcentral